This 406-nucleotide ribosomal RNA is filed under the name uncultured bacterium. RNAcentral's name for it is "partial 16S ribosomal RNA". It matches the Rfam family "Bacterial small subunit ribosomal RNA", at positions 30 to 526 of the family's 1533-position model. The record is from RNAcentral.
AUUGAACGCUGGCGGCAGGCCUAACACAUGCAAGUCGAACGAGCGGCGGACGGGUGAGUAAUGUAUGGGAAUCUGCCCGAUGGAGGGGGAUAACUACUGGAAACGGUAGCUAAUACCGCAUACUCUCGGAUGUACCCAUAUGGGAUUAGCUAGUAGGUGGGGUAACGGCUCACCUAGGCGACGAUCUCUAGCUGGUCUGAGAGGAUGAACAGCCACACUGGAACUGAGACACGGGCCAGACUCCUACGGGAGGCAGCAUUGGGGAAGAUUGCACAAUGGGCGCAAGCCUGAUGCAGCCAUGCCGCGUGUAUGAAGAAGGCCUUAGGGUUGUAAAGUACUUUCAGCGGGGAGGCGUUACCCGCAGAAGAAGCACCGGCUAACUCCGUGCCAGCAGCCGCGGUAAUUC